UACGUAGGGAGCAAGCGUUGUUCGGAUUUACUGGGCGUAAAGGGCGCGUAGGCGGCGCGGUAAGUCACUUGUGAAAUCUCUGAGCUUAGCUCAGAACGGCCAAGUGAUACUUCAGUGCUAGAGUGCAGAAAGGGCAAUCGGAAUUCUUGGUGUAGCGGUGAAAUGCGUAGAUAUCAAGAGGAACACCUGAGGCGAAGGCGGGUUGCUAGGCUGACACUGACGCUGAGGCGCGAAAGCCAGGGGAGCAAACGGG
This 253-nucleotide ribosomal RNA is filed under the name uncultured bacterium. Its description in RNAcentral is "partial 16S ribosomal RNA". It matches the Rfam family "Bacterial small subunit ribosomal RNA", at positions 524 to 776 of the family's 1533-position model. The record is from RNAcentral.